UGGAAAGUGCGGUGAGGAAGUGUUCCUAGUUGAUGGUAAUUUCCAAUGAAAGGGAGUUUUGGUGGACAUGGUGGUAGCUUCAAUUUGGUUCUUCUAAUUUUGAGUUUAUGAAAAAAAAAUAGUAGUACUAGUAUGAUGAUUAUGAAGGUAGAUAUAAUAAAAAACGUAGCAUCAUCUAUGUUAUAUGGUAGUAAUUUUCUCCUCACAUAUGAUAAUAGAUUUAGAUCCAUUAUCGUUAUUAUUCUUCUUCCAUUCAUCAUCUCAAUAAUGAUCAUGAAGCACUAUAUAUAAGUGCCGCCAUUGGAGAUGGCGUGAGUACCCAAGAGGCUGGGAUACUUAUCAUUAAAGUAUAUUUGCUUUUUAUUUUUAAUAUUAAAGUUUAUUUGCAAUUGUGCUCCAACUGUAAUUGCAUGACACGAUGGACACUACUUAAACGACGGCACAUUGGUUUCGCGCUCAAACCCUUUGGGAACCAUGUCGUUUUAGUUUUUAUGGGUUAAAACUCUCUUUCUUUCCACUACGACGAUCAUAAGUUGCCAAAUAUCAAGAAAAUCCUUACACUACGUGGUUUCCAAAGGGUUUGCGUGCGAAACCAAUGCGCCGUCGUUUAAGUAGUGUCCACCAUGUCAUGCAAUUGCACUAGAUCAGCAUUAUUCUGGUAACGGAAAUGAUCGCAGGGAUAAGCUGGAGCCACAAUUACAAAUUUGAAGAUUCUAAUUGGGGCCAACGAAAUUGUGAGGGUCAUUUUAAGUAUCAGGCAAAAUUUUAGGAACCAAAUUGAGAUUUAACUCAUAUAUUGUGUUGUAUCAUGAAAAUGAGAGGUGUAUUAUGAAAUUAUGAAGGACAAUUAAAAAAAAUUGAGAGUCAAAUUUAAAUACCAAAAAUAUGAGAAUAAGAUUUGUGUUUAUGAUUUCUUUUUUAUUUGCUAAAAUAAAAAAUUGAGGAUCGUUAUUUAUAAAAUUUUAUUAUUUUAAAAUCACAGAUCUAAUAGUCAAAUUUGUGUACCUAUAAAAUUUUAUCAUAAAAUUUGAUCCUUAAAUUUUUCAUUUCUACACUAAAAAAAUCACAUCACAUUUAUUCAUCUCUAAAAAAGAUUAGUUUAUAUUCUAUAAAAAAUUUUAGUUAGCCAGUACUAGUCAAUUUAAGAAUUUAGCUUUUACAAUUUAAAAAUAAUGUUAAUAAUUUAUGAUUUAGAAGGUAAGAUAAAUAAAAUACUUUUUAAAGGAAUUAGUUAAUGUUGGUCGAAAAAAGUUGAUUUUUUAAAGAUUGUUUAAAAGGAAGAUUGAAACUAAGAAAUAGAGAUUAGGAGAUAAAGACUGAGAGAUAAAAAUUAAAAAAUAAAAACUGAAAAGUAAAAAUUAAAUUAAGUCUCUAUAUUAUAUUUGAUUAAGUUAUAUCUCACUUAUCAUAUUUAGUUUAAGAUAAAAAAAAAGAUUAAGGGAUAGAUUUAGAAUUUAAAAAGAUAAACGGGAGUAUUUUUUAAAAAAAAAAAUUAUUAAAAUUUCAGUUUUUAUUCCUAAAAAAUUCAGUCUCUUAAGUUUUUUGUUUAUUUUUUUUCGAAGUACUUAAGAGACUAAAAAUUUAUGACCAAAAUUAAAAUUUUAGUUCCAACAAACACAAUAUAUCAAUACUCAAUUUUAGUCCUUCAAUCUUGAUUCUAGUCCCAAAAAACAAACACAGUCUAAUAUUACUCAUUUUAUAUUUUUUAAAGUCGAAAUAUAUUUUUUUUAUUAGAAAAAAAUUAUCAGUUUGAUUUCUAAAUGACAUAAUAAAUGUGGGCAGCUGCUAAAAAAUGUUUUAUUAGUGAUUUAUACUUUAAUGAUUAAUUAUUACUCACAACCACUACUAUAAUUAAGUUUAAUUUAGUUUGCUUAUGUUUAGAUUUGCAUAAAUUUUAUAUAAUUUUUUUAGUUGAAAUUAAUUAAAAUAAUAUCCUAAAAAUUUUUAGUCAUACAAAUUAUAAUAUUAUGUCAUGAUAAUAAAUUUAUUGUAUAUCUCUAAAAUUUAAUCAGAUAAUCCUUUUUAAAAUUUAAACUAAACCUAACUCUAUAACCAAACAAAUAAAUUUAAAUUUAAAUGAUAAUAAAUUUGUUAUAUAUCUCUAAUAGAACUUUCCCGGCAUAAGAUAACGACACAAAUGUUGCUCUAUUAUGUGGUUCGGUGCAUGGCAAGAUAUUUUAAAAUUUUGAUCCCUUGCUUCUUUGUUUGUAUCCUUAAAAUUCAAAGAAACACAUCAUAAUGAUAAUAACUGCAACAAGAUUGCAUACUACAAAACAGAGGUAAUAUUCAAUGUAACUCAAGAUAAGAUAGAAGAUAAAAAAAAAAGUUUUUUAUUUUAAUUUAAUUUUUUGAUAUAAUAAUUAAAAAAAUUCUUUUAUUUUAUUUAUUUAUAUUUAAAUUUUUUAAAAAAAUUCAAAAAAAUGUAUUCAUCAAAUUAAAUUAAAAUAUUUUAAAAAUAUAAAUUAAUAUUUUUUCGUCAAUAAGUAAUAGUUCAAAGGGCUCAAAUGGUAUAGACUCUCCAUACUCAAUUAAGAGGUUGCGAGUUUGAGUCUUCUAUUUUUUUAAAUUUUUGCCAAUGCGUAAUAGCUCAAAUGACAUAGACUCCUCAUACUCAAUUAAGAGGUUGCAGGUUCGAGUCUUCUAUCUUUCUAAACUUUUAGCCAAUGAGUAAUAGCUCAAAUGACAUAGACUCCCCAUACUCAAUUAACUCCAUACUCAAUUAAGAGGUUGAGGAUUCGAGUCUUCUAUCUUUCUAAUUUUUUUUUUAAAUAAUAUUUGAACUUUUUAUAUCACAAACAUUUAAAAUAUGUCUUAAGAGGUGUAUUAUUGUGGUCAACGAGUAAUAGCUCAAAUGGCAUGGCAUAGUCUCCCUAUUCUCAAUUAAGAAGUUGCGGAUUCGAGUCUCGUAUCUUUGGUAAAAAAAAGAAGUGUAUUAUUGUGAUGACAGAUAUUAUUGGCGUUAUAUGUUAUAUAUUAUCUUCAGUAGUAUGAUGAUUAUGAAGGUAGAUAUAACAAAAAAAGUAACAUCAUCUAUGUUAUAUGGUAGUAAUUUUCUCCUCACAUAUGAUAAUAGAUUUAGAUCCAUUAUCGUUAUUAUUCUUCUUCC
RNAcentral lists this long non-coding RNA (3106 nucleotides) under Arachis ipaensis. RNAcentral describes it as "long non-coding RNA (AIPA_LNC000509)". The record is from RNAcentral. Lineage: Eukaryota; Viridiplantae; Streptophyta; Magnoliopsida; Fabales; Fabaceae.